GUUGGUGAUUUGUCGCAAGGGUCACACCUCUUCCCAUUCCGAACAGAGAAGUUAAGCCUUGUAGAACCGAUGGUACUGCUUACGCGGGAGAGUAGGUAGUCGCCAGCA
This 108-nucleotide ribosomal RNA is filed under the name Candidatus Nomurabacteria bacterium. The record is from RNAcentral. Lineage: Bacteria; Candidatus Nomuraibacteriota. RNAcentral also lists the same sequence under 2 other names.